GUGCUCGCUUCGGCAGCACAUAUACUAAAAUUUGAGUGAUAUGGCCCCUGCGCAAGGAUGACGGCCAAAUUUGUGAAGCGUUCCACAUUUUG
This 92-nucleotide small nuclear RNA is filed under the name Jaculus jaculus (lesser Egyptian jerboa). The record is from RNAcentral. Lineage: Eukaryota; Metazoa; Chordata; Mammalia; Rodentia; Dipodidae.